RNAcentral lists this ribosomal RNA (484 nucleotides) under uncultured bacterium. Its description in RNAcentral is "partial 16S ribosomal RNA". It matches the Rfam family "Bacterial small subunit ribosomal RNA", at positions 30 to 507 of the family's 1533-position model. The record is from RNAcentral.
AUUGAACGCUGGCGGCAGGCCUAACACAUGCAAGUCGAGCGGAUGAAGGGAGCUUGCUCCUGGAUUCAGCGGCGGACGGGUGAGUAAUGCCUAGGAAUCUGCCUGGUAGUGGGGGAUAACGUCCGGAAACGGGCGCUAAUACCGCAUACGUCCUGAGGGAGAAAGUGGGGGAUCUUCGGACCUCACGCUAUCAGAUGAGCCUAGGUCGGAUUAGCUAGUUGGUGGGGUAAAGGCCUACCAAGGCGACGAUCCGUAACUGGUCUGAGAGGAUGAUCAGUCACACUGGAACUGAGACACGGUCCAGACUCCUACGGGAGGCAGCAGUGAGGAAUAUUGGACAAUGGGCGAAAGCCUGAUCCAGCUAUGCCGCGUGUGUGAAGAAGGUCUUCGGAUUGUAAAGCACUUUAAGUUGGGAGGAAGGGCAGUAAGUUAAUACCUUGCUGUUUUGACGUUACCAACAGAAUAAGCACCGGCUAACUUCGUG